AACAGGUUAAUAUUCCUGUACUUGGUGUUACUGCGAAGGGGGGACGGAGAAGGCUAUGUUGGCCGGGCGACGGUUGUCCCGGUUUAAGCGUGUAGGCUGGUUUUCCAGGCAAAUCCGGAAAACCAAGGCUGAGGCGUGAUGACGAGGCACUACGGUGCUGAAGCAACAAAUGCCCUGCUUCCAGGAAAAGCCUCUAAGCAUCAGGUAACAUCAAAUCGUACCCCAAACCGACACAGGUGGUCAGGUAGAGAAUACCAAGGCGCU
RNAcentral lists this ribosomal RNA (264 nucleotides) under Escherichia coli. RNAcentral describes it as "partial 23S ribosomal RNA". It matches the Rfam family "Bacterial large subunit ribosomal RNA", at positions 1424 to 1690 of the family's 2925-position model. The record is from RNAcentral. Lineage: Bacteria; Pseudomonadati; Pseudomonadota; Gammaproteobacteria; Enterobacterales; Enterobacteriaceae.